UGCAGUCGAACGGCAGCGCGGACUUCGGUCUGGCGGCGAGUGGCGCAUGGGUGAGUAAUGUAUCGGAACGUGCCCUAGAGUGGGGGAUAACGUAGCGAAAGUUACGCUAAUACCGCAUACGAUCUAUGGAUGAAAGUGGGGGACCGCAAGGCCUCACGCUCAUGGAGCGGCCGAUAUCUGAUUAGCUAGUUGGUAGGGUAAAAGCCUACCAGGGCGACGAUCAGUAGCUGGUCUGAGAGGACGACCAGCCACACUGGGACUGAGACACGGCCCAGACUCCUACGGGAGGCAGCAGUGGGGAAUUUUGGACAAUGGGGGCAACCCUGAUCCAGCAAUGCCGCGUGUGUGAAGAAGGCCUUCGGGUUGUAAAGCACUUUUGUCAGGAACGAAACGGUGGGGGCUAAUAUCCCCUGCUAAUGACGGUACCUGAAGAAUAAGCACCGGCUAACUACGUGCCAGCAGCCGCGGUAAUACGUAGGGUGCGAGCGUUAAUCGGAAUUACUGGGCGUAAAGCGUGCGCAGGCGGUUGUGCAAGACAGAUGUGAAAUCCCCGGGCUUAACCUGGGAAUUGCAUUUGUGACUGCACGGCUAGAGUGUGUCAGAGGGGGGUAGAAUUCCACGUGUAGCAGUGAAAUGCGUAGAUAUGUGGAGGAAUACCGAUGGCGAAGGCAGCCCCCUGGGAUAACACUGACGCUCAUGCACGAAAGCGUGGGGAGCAAACAGGAUUAGAUACCCUGGUAGUCCACGCCCUAAACGAUGUCUACUAGUUGUCGGGUCUUAAUUGACUU
This 788-nucleotide ribosomal RNA is filed under the name uncultured Burkholderiales bacterium. RNAcentral's name for it is "bacterial SSU rRNA". It matches the Rfam family "Bacterial small subunit ribosomal RNA", at positions 56 to 841 of the family's 1533-position model. Lineage: Bacteria; Pseudomonadati; Pseudomonadota; Betaproteobacteria; Burkholderiales. The record is from RNAcentral.